Molecule: ribosomal RNA, 254 nt
Filed under: uncultured bacterium
Lineage: Bacteria
Description: partial 16S ribosomal RNA
Rfam family: Bacterial small subunit ribosomal RNA
Source: RNAcentral
UACGAAGGGGGCUAGCGUUGCUCGGAAUCACUGAGCGUAAAGGGUGCGUAGGUGGUUUGUUAAGUCAGGGGUGAAAUCCCUCGGCUCAACUGAGGAACUGCACGGGAUACUGGAAGACUUGAGUUCGGGAGAGGGAAGCGGAAUUCCGGGUGUAGCGGUGAAAUGCGUAGAUAUCCGGAGGAACACCGGUGGCGAAGGCGGCUUCCUGGACCGAUCACUGACGCUGAGGCGCGAAAGCUAGGGGAGCAAACGGG